RNAcentral lists this ribosomal RNA (418 nucleotides) under uncultured bacterium. Its description in RNAcentral is "bacterial SSU rRNA". It matches the Rfam family "Bacterial small subunit ribosomal RNA", at positions 85 to 518 of the family's 1533-position model. The record is from RNAcentral.
CUAUAACUUAGUGGCGGACGGGUGAGUAACGCGUGGGUAACCUGCCUUAUACAGGGGGAGUAACAGUCGGAAACGACUGCUAAUACCGCAUAAGCGCACAGUAUCGCAUGAUACAGUGUGAAAAGAUUUAUCGGUAUAAGAUGGACCCGCGUCUGAUUAGCUAGUUGGUGAGGUAACGGCCCACCAAGGCGACGAUCAGUAGCCGGCCUGAGAGGGUGAACGGCCACAUUGGGACUGAGACACGGCCCAAACUCCUACGGGAGGCAGCAGUGGGGAAUAUUGCACAAUGGGGGGAAACCCUGAUGCAAGCGACGCCGCGUGAGUGAAGAAGUAUUUCGGUAUGUAAAGCUCUAUCAGCAGGGAAGAAAAUGACGGUACCUGACUAAGAAGCCCCGGCUAACUACGUGCCAGCAGCGGC